GAACGGGUGAGUAACACGUGGGCAAUCUGCCCUUCACUCUGGGACAAGCCCUGGAAACGGGGUCUAAUACCGGAUAUCACUCUCGCAGGCAUCUGUGAGGGUCGAAAGCUCCGGCGGUGAAGGAUGAGCCCGCGGCCUAUCAGCUUGUUGGUGAGGUAAUGGCUCACCAAGGCGACGACGGGUAGCCGGCCUGAGAGGGCGACCGGCCACACUGGGACUGAGACACGGCCCAGACUCCUACGGGAGGCAGCAGUGGGGAAUAUUGCACAAUGGGCGAAAGCCUGAUGCAGCGACGCCGCGUGAGGGAUGACGGCCUUCGGGUUGUAAACCUCUUUCAGCAGGGAAGAAGCGAAAGUGACGGUACCUGCAGAAGAAGCGCCGGCUAACUACGUGCCAGCAGCCGCGGUAAUACGUAGGGCGCAAGCGUUGUCCGGAAUUAUUGGGCGUAAAGAGCUCGUAGGCGGCUUGUCACGUCGGGUGUGAAAGCCCGGGGCUUAACCCCGGGUCUGCAUUCGAUACGGGCUAGCUAGAGUGUGGUAGGGGAGAUCGGAAUUCCUGGUGUAGCGGUGAAAUGCGCAGAUAUCAGGAGGAACACCGGUGGCGAAGGCGGAUCUCUGGGCCAUUACUGACGCUGAGGAGCGAAA
Molecule: ribosomal RNA, 644 nt
Filed under: Streptomyces sp. 5224_1
Lineage: Bacteria; Bacillati; Actinomycetota; Actinomycetes; Kitasatosporales; Streptomycetaceae
Description: bacterial SSU rRNA
Rfam family: Bacterial small subunit ribosomal RNA
Source: RNAcentral